UACGUAGGGGGCAAGCGUUGUCCGGAUUUAUUGGGCGUAAAGAGCGUGUAGGCGGCCAGACAGGUCCGUUGUGAAAACUCGAGGCUCAACCUCGAGACGCCGAUGGAAACCGUCUGGCUAGAGUCCGGAAGAGGAGAGUGGAAUUCCCGGUGUAGCGGUGAAAUGCGCAGAUAUCGGGAAGAACACCGGUGGCGAAGGCGGGUCUCUGGGCCGAUACUGACGCUGAGGAGCGAAAGCGUGGGGAGCGAACAGG
Molecule: ribosomal RNA, 253 nt
Filed under: uncultured bacterium
Lineage: Bacteria
Description: partial 16S ribosomal RNA
Rfam family: Bacterial small subunit ribosomal RNA
Source: RNAcentral